This 1441-nucleotide ribosomal RNA is filed under the name uncultured organism. RNAcentral describes it as "SSU rRNA". It matches the Rfam family "Bacterial small subunit ribosomal RNA". The record is from RNAcentral.
CGCUAGCUACAGGCUUAACACAUGCAAGUCGAGGGGCAGCAGGAUCUAGCAAUAGAUUGCUGGCGACCGGCGCACGGGUGAGUAACACGUAUCCAACCUGCCGAUAACUCGGGGAUAGCCUUUCGAAAGAAAGAUUAAUACCCGAUAGUAUAAUCAGACCGCAUGGUUUGAUUAUUAAAGAAUUUCGGUUAUCGAUGGGGAUGCGUUCCAUUAGGCAGUUGGUGAGGUAACGGCUCACCAAACCUUCGAUGGAUAGGGGUUCUGAGAGGAAGGUCCCCCACAUUGGAACUGAGACACGGUCCAAACUCCUACGGGAGGCAGCAGUGAGGAAUAUUGGUCAAUGGACGCGAGUCUGAACCAGCCAAGUAGCGUGAAGGAUGACUGCCCUAUGGGUUGUAAACUUCUUUUAUAUGGGAAUAAAGUUUUCCACGUGUGGAAUUUUGUAUGUACCAUAUGAAUAAGGAUCGGCUAACUCCGUGCCAGCAGCCGCGGUAAUACGGAGGAUCCGAGCGUUAUCCAGAUUUAUUGGGUUUAAAGGGAGCGUAGGUGGACAGUUAAGUCAGUUGUGAAAGUUUGCGGCUCAACCGUAAAAUUGCAGUUGAUACUGGCUGUCUUGAGUACAGUAGAGGUGGGCGGAAUUCGUGGUGUAGCGGUGAAAUGCUUAGAUAUCACGAAGAACUCCGAUUGCGAAGGCAGCUCACUGGACUGCAACUGACACUGAUGCUCGAAAGUGUGGGUAUCAAACAGGAUUAGAUACCCUGGUAGUCCACACAGUAAACGAUGAAUACUCGCUGUUUGCGAUAUACAGUAAGCGGCCAAGCGAAAGCAUUAAGUAUUCCACCUGGGGAGUACGCCGGCAGCGGUGAAACUCAAAGGAAUUGACGGGGGCCCGCACAAGCGGAGGAACAUGUGGUUUAAUUCGAUGAUACGCGAGGAACCUUACCCGGGCUUAAAUUGCAUUUGAAUAUAUUGGAAACAGUAUAGCCGUAAGGCAAAUGUGAAGGUGCUGCAUGGUUGUCGUCAGCUCGUGCCGUGAGGUGUCGGCUUAAGUGCCAUAACGAGCGCAACCCUUAUCUUUAGUUACUAACAGGUCAUGCUGAGGACUCUAGAGAGACUGCCGUCGUAAGAUGUGAGGAAGGUGGGGAUGACGUCAAAUCAGCACGGCCCUUACGUCCGGGGCUACACACGUGUUACAAUGGGGGGUACAGAAGGCAGCUACCUGGUGACAGGAUGCUAAUCCCAAAAGCCUCUCUCAGUUCGGAUCGAAGUCUGCAACCCGACUUCGUGAAGCUGGAUUCGCUAGUAAUCGCGCAUCAGCCAUGGCGCGGUGAAUACGUUCCCGGGCCUUGUACACACCGCCCGUCAAGCCAUGAAAGCCGGGGGUACCUGAAGUACGUAACCGCAAGGAGCGUCCUAGGGUAAAACUGGUAAUUGGGGCUAA